This 201-nucleotide ribosomal RNA is filed under the name Halomonas sp. ISM-Hm1. Its description in RNAcentral is "partial 16S ribosomal RNA". It matches the Rfam family "Bacterial small subunit ribosomal RNA", at positions 1329 to 1532 of the family's 1533-position model. The record is from RNAcentral. Lineage: Bacteria; Pseudomonadati; Pseudomonadota; Gammaproteobacteria; Oceanospirillales; Halomonadaceae.
GAAUCGCUAGUAAUCGUGGAUCAGAAUGUCACGGUGAAUACGUUCCCGGGCCUUGUCACACCGCCCGUCACACCAUGGGAGUGGACUGCACCAGAAGUGGUUAGCCUAACGCAAGAGGGCGAUCACCACGGUGUGGUUCAUGACUGGGGUGAAGUCGUAACAAGGUAGCCGUAGGGGAACCUGCGGCUGGAUCACCUCCUU